RNAcentral lists this unclassified non-coding RNA (240 nucleotides) under soil metagenome. RNAcentral's name for it is "partial contains 5.8S ribosomal RNA, internal transcribed spacer 2, and large subunit ribosomal RNA". The record is from RNAcentral.
AACGCACGAGACCUGCGGACCUGCGGAGGGAUCAUUAUAGAGUGGUAAACCCCCCGUAAAAAGGGGGGUACCUCCCGUCCUUUGCAGGCUCCUUUUUAAGGGGCUUUUUUGACUUUCUGCUUCGGUGGGGUUAUCCUACCGGAACAACCUCAAAACUCUGAUAAAAAAAAUAGUUCUGUCCGAGUGCUCUUUUAUAAUAAAAAAAACUUUCAACAACGGAUCUCUAGAUCGGAAGAGCAC